GAUAAAAUUUUUAAUUUUAGGAAAAUUUUCAAAACUUUGCUAAUGACUAUGAUGCACAUUAUUUUGGAUGUAAAUUUGAUAUGCCAGUAAAAGUUCCUGGAAAGAAUGCUUUGGAUCUCAAUGAAGAAUACCAUCAACUAUACUUUUGGGGUGAGCUUGAUAAAGACACGGGCAUUCCCAUUUUGCCAGAAAAAACCGAGAUAUCUGAAAAGGCUCACAAUCUUGAGACAUUUGCUGAUGAGCGCUUUUCAAAUUCUGGUCCGAAGAACAGUCUGAGUCUGCUUUCUCUUCUUUGUAUAUUUAUAUUGUAUUUGGUACAUUGAUUAUUGCAUGUGUGAAAAAAUUUCAUUUAUACAAAUAAUUGUACAUCAUUAAAAUAUGUAAAUAUUCCAAAUUCUUAUUUGCUUCUGUAAGAAGUUGUGUUGUAAAAAGCACUGGAUACUUUAUUAGAACAUUCCAGGUUGUUCUGUUAUGUAAACUUGAUUUCAUUUGAUGAUUAUUAUGUAAAAAAAAA
This is a long non-coding RNA of Centruroides sculpturatus (bark scorpion), 514 nucleotides long. RefSeq lists it as uncharacterized. The record is from RefSeq and is a predicted model, not a curated record. Lineage: Eukaryota; Metazoa; Arthropoda; Arachnida; Scorpiones; Buthidae. The transcript is spliced from 2 exons.